CGACUUUCUCUUUCGUUUUGACGUUUUGAAAUUGAGGCGUUGUUUUAUUCACAACAAUAAAACCUGACGCUCAAGCUGCAAAGACAUUACUUUAUCCACCUGCUCACCUGUGCUGCUGAUCUUCAGGUUUUAAAACUGAGUCGAUGUGACUUUUAAUGGAUAGAAUAAAGCCUGAGGCUCAAGGUGUGAAGACGUUCUUUAUCCAUCUGCUCACCUGUGCUGCUGAUCUUCAGUCCAUCAUGAACAGAGUUCAAACAGUGACGAAUCAGAGAGACGCAGACCUGCAGUCAGACGAGGAGGACGUCGACAUCCUGGAGAUGCUUUCUUUCAGACUGUUCAUGCGUGGAUUACUCCACUUCGCACUGAUGAGACCAUUGAUGAAGAGUCUCAGUCAGAUGUUGGUGAAGGUCGCAGAAUUAAGGUGCAAAAAUCCAACAGUCCUGAAGUGGCUCAGAGAAUAUUCACAGUCUGAAGACUUCUCCGAUCUUGCAGAGAUCUUUCAUUUCCUGAAAGGAAAGAUCGAAGAAGAGGAGAAAAAGGACCACGACAACACAGUGGACAUUAUAUUUGUGGCUCAUGGAGCCAUCAAAGAUGUGAUGAUUCCAGCCUGUUUUCUGCUGCCGUUGCCCUCCAUCACAGACGUGGUCCUCUACUCUCCCUGGAACUGCGCCACCGAUGCCAAUGUAUCGUACGCCCUGGCCACAGGAAGACUCAGACCCCACCACAGAGUUUUUGUCUCUAAGACAGACAGCAGCUGUAAAACUCCUGCUCCUGUCAAACUCCCCAACCACUGGAACUCCAUGAAGGCAGCAGGAGAACAGAAGAUCCCCAACAUCACCGUCAGGUCCCUGUUACCCAUUGAGGGAGUGUGGCUAAAAUACCAAAUUCUGCAGGCAAAACACGGAAAACCAGGAAGAAACCGCAUCGUGAUUCCCUUCAUGUUCCCAGAAGUGAAAGUUGGCAGCGUCCCGUUCUCUGUGGUCAGCCUCGCUCUGUCUCUGGUGCUGGACUCCUCCAGAUUCACAGCCACCGUCCACCUGGACACCUGCUUGUGUGAUCAGUCCGAGGGUCAGAAGUUCGAUCCAGAGUACCUGAGGAGUCAGUACGCCUACACUGACGACUGGCACCUCCAUGACGGUUUCAGACGUACAUGCUCACUGGAUCUCUAAUGGACCGUGUGAGACUCAAAUUUCUGACUAUGUUUAAUGCUUAAAGGUGCAAUAAGUAAUAUUGUUAUGAUUGGCUCUAGAAUUCCGAAGAGUUCUGUCCUGGAGCCCUCAUUUUGACAGAAAAACACUUUACCAACAUUUAUUGAUGGAGACGACAGAUUGGGAAUGUUUCUUCAAUGACAGGUGAAAAACUGGAAAGAGUUGUAUUAAUUUUAUUGUACAUUUCUUACUUUUUGUACCUUUUACAUCCCCAGGCUGUUUGUCCAUCAGUGUGUCUCCAGGCUGGACUGUAACAGAAGUUAUUUCUGGUUUAGACAAUUGACGAGAACUCAGAGAACACCAGAGGGAGGAGACUAUUACAGGUACAAAUCUUUCCACUCAGAACCAACAACACACUAACCAAAACAUAAAACAUGUAAAUGCAGCACAUCAUCAUUAUGAAAUGCAUGAAACUCCUGAGAACAAUCUUGAAUGUUUUGUUUUUUUUUUUUUUUUUUUUGUAGCUGCA
Salarias fasciatus (jewelled blenny) is the source of this 1677-nucleotide RNA transcript. RefSeq lists it as uncharacterized. NCBI's taxonomy places the organism in Eukaryota, Metazoa, Chordata, Actinopteri, Blenniiformes, Blenniidae. The transcript is spliced from 5 exons. The record is from RefSeq and is a predicted model, not a curated record.